Molecule: ribosomal RNA, 253 nt
Filed under: uncultured bacterium
Lineage: Bacteria
Description: partial 16S ribosomal RNA
Rfam family: Bacterial small subunit ribosomal RNA
Source: RNAcentral
UACGAAGGGGGCUAGCGUUGCUCGGAAUCACUGGGCGUAAAGCGCACGUAGGCGGCUUUCUAAGUCAGGGGUGAAAUCCUGGAGCUCAACUCCAGAACUGCCUUUGAUACUGGAGAGCUCGAGUCCGGAAGAGGUGAGUGGAACUCCGAGUGUAGAGGUGAAAUUCGUAGAUAUUCAGAAGAACACCAGUGGCGAAGGCGGCUCACUGGUCCGGUACUGACGCUGAUGUGCGAAAGCGUGGGGAGCAAACAGG